RNAcentral lists this ribosomal RNA (562 nucleotides) under uncultured fungus. RNAcentral's name for it is "eukaryotic LSU rRNA". The stretch from base 174 to 328 matches the Rfam family "5.8S ribosomal RNA". Lineage: Eukaryota; Fungi. The record is from RNAcentral.
AAGGAUCAUUAUUGAAUUAUAGGCGAGGGUUGUCGCUGGCCUCUCGGGGCAUGUGCACACCCGAGCCAUCCCCAACAAACACCGUGGGCCUUCGGGCCCGCGUAUAUUUACUCUGAAUGUGUAUAGAAUGUAAACCAUUUGUUUGCCCUGAAAAAGCAAACGAAAAAAAGUACAACUUUCAACAACGGAUCUCUUGGCUCUCGCAUCGAUGAAGAACGCAGCGAAAUGCGAUAAGUAAUGUGAAUUGCAGAUUUUCAGUGAAUCAUCGAAUCUUUGAACGCACCUUGCGCCCCUUGGUAUUCCGAGGGGCAUGCCUGUUUGAGUGUCAUUAAAUCCUCAACCGCGCCGAUUGAUUUCGGUGGGGCUUGGACUUUGGAGCGUGCUGGCGAAGGUCGGCUCCUCUUUAAAUGCAUCAGCGGAAGAAACCUUUGUCUUUCCUGCCUUCGGUGUGAUAAUCGUGUUGCGCCGUGGUGGAACUUCAACGAUCCGCUUACAAUGGUCUUCGGACGAAACCUCAUGUCAUCUUGACCUCAAAUCAGGUAGGACUACCCGCUGAACUUAA